This 2115-nucleotide long non-coding RNA is filed under the name Eufriesea mexicana. RNAcentral's name for it is "uncharacterized LOC108551739, transcript variant X1". The record is from RNAcentral. Lineage: Eukaryota; Metazoa; Arthropoda; Insecta; Hymenoptera; Apidae.
GACGGGGUGACUAAUUGCUAAGCGGCUUGUAAAAAUUCGCAGGACAGUCUGUCGACAUCGUGGCGCGGCCGUCUCAUCGUCGCGCCGUUAUACUUUUUGCCCAUACACGGUUAACUAGAGAAGAGAGCCUACUAGGGGGAGAGAGAUCGAGUAGCAGGGGAAAGUGGUGGGAGCGACAAGGAUAGAGGGGGGCUCUAGUGACGACGGGGCGCGAAAGUAAUGUGGUGGGGGUGGUAUAGCGGCGCGUGGAGAGGAGAAAGGGGAACGGGCGAGAGAAGCAUGUGCGUGUGAGGCCUUAAGGUGAGAAAAGAAAAAUGGCGAAGAGAGGCCGAGGCUGCGUCGUCCCGCGUUCGAAGGCGAGAGGGGACGACGCUUUCGCAGAUUCCACGUGAGAUACCUGCGGCAUUCUUCGUUCUGCAGCAGGGCAUUAAGCCGGAUGCACAUUCGUCGUGGACGACGCUCGGUGAAUUCAUUUCCAAGAAAAAUAUCUUCCGCCACGAAACGAAUUUUACGGCAGAUUUUGUUCGCGGACAGACCGCCGGAGAGCAUCACUCUCUCUCCCUCUCUAUCUAUCUAUCUAUCUAUUUAUCUCUCUCUCCCUCUCUCUCUCUUUUUCUUUCUCAAUAUACGAACGGAGGACAAGGAGAUGUGCGAUGUUUUUGUUAUUUUUCUUUUUUUCAUUUUCGUGGACCGUCUCGGAACCAAGCUCCCGCAAUAAAACAUCUAAUCCGACGAUAAACCGCGCAGUGAUUCUUUCCCGCAACGUUUACGCGUCUCUGACAUGUUUCGUGCGCGCCGUUGAUGCGCACCGGAUCGAAGUUUACGAAUGUAACACUAGUUUAGUUGAAUCAGGGUAUGGUUUAAAGAAUCAGAAUAGACGACAGACAUGUUACAAAUUCUAUAACCUCAAAGGUAGAUAUAUAUAAAAGCUAAUUAAAGAAAGAAAAAACUAUGCGGCGUAAAAAGGGAUUAUAAAACACGAGGAGAUUCCCUAUUUUGUAAAUAAUUAUGGAAGAUGAUUCACUAAAGAACGGUGUCAUUGUCAACAAGACUACCUAUUCUGCGCAUUUAGUGGACAUGCCUGGCUUCGACCGUGAUACGGUAUCCGAAAUAAAGCCAUAAAAGUGCAACCAACACUGUAAAGAUCCACAUUCGCGAUGCUUACAUCUGUUCCAGUGCAUCGACGUGUGUAUGCAUCGAUCGCUAAAAAACUUCAUUUUAAUACCUAAUAAUAACAACGACAUUGGUAAAAAGAGACAUUUGCUAUCAUGGUCGAGGAAAGUUAGUUGCUCGAUGGAAUGAAAAUCGUACAAUUUGAGAUUUCGAUCGAAAACAGUCAAAGAUGAAAAACAUACAUAGUGAGAAAGAAAAAGGGUAAAGGCGGACUGCUAGUAGCGCACAAAAGGACACGAAAUGAUUUAUUUCAAUUCCCUAUCACGGCCGGCUGCUGCGUGUCGUCCACGGUGGCGCUCGAGAGAGGAUCAUUUGCGCGGACCACACGCCGAAUGAAACAAGAAGAAGCUCAAUUACUUCAAGGAAUCAUCGGAGAUCUCUUUGUGGCACAGCUUUACGAUCGAAUUCUGACGCUGCAUCUUGUGUUUCCGCAGGUACGAGACUGACAGAGAGUGGAAAAAAAGGAGAUCAACGACGUCGCAGAAAAGAAACGAACCGAGACGACAACAGGCAUAUGAAAGGGAAAAGGAAACAGGAUGAAGCGUACGGCUAUGACAAAUCUAAUAGAUUCUUGGCGAUUUAGGGUGCCCCACAAGGGGGACCAUAAGAUAGGAAGAGAAUAAAAACAAGCGUAGAAGGGAGGAGAGUAUUUCUAUUCAACGCUCGAUGAACGGAUGUAACGCUUAGUAGACCCUUCUGCUGCCCUUCUAACAAUGAUAUUCCUUCUCGCGAUCGGGCACAGAGGAGAACCGAGAAAAAAGUCAAGCCCUGCCAUUGCUCACCUAUAAUGCGCUGGAGACACACAAUGCUCAUUGUCGACUCGUCGUGGAAUGUGGGGAGCGAGGUAUUGUCGGCGCACUCCAAAUGUGGAUCCCCCCUUUUCGACUGGCACCAACAUUCACGCUGCGCACUAUUUGAUUUCUCAUCCUUUACAAUUGUUAC